CCCACCUUGCUGUCCAGUUAGCCUUCGGGAAACUAUACCAGAACCCCCUGAUUCAGCUUGUUACCAAUAACACAGAAAGGGUCAUAAUUGAAGCAUAAAUUUCCAAAAUUUCCAAUAUUAUCAACAACAAAACACCUGUAUAACAACAAAAUGAAAUACAAGGUAACUCAAAAGCAUUCACAAGAUAAUAGUUUCCCAAGUAGCAAAGAAAGUACCUGUCCAGAUGCUAAUGAUGGAAACAUGUUUGGAAACAUUCUAGGAAUGGCUGGGGUGGUACCAGGAAUCUAGCCUGUCAUGGCUAACUGUGUUAGAUCACUCAUUAAGUGAGAAAUUGUUCUUAUUCUUCUAUAUGCAUGUCAUGACUUUCUUUCAUAGUCUAUAUGGUCACUUAUAUGUAAAACGAAUAAUCAAUAACCUAGUUCUACAAGGACUUUGACUCCUAGCAUAUACUCCUGUUAAAAUACCUAAGCUUAACCAAGACAAUUAAUGGUCAAAAUAACCUGAAUACUAGAAAUAAUCGCCAAUUAUUCAUAAAUUACAAUAAGUACCCAAUUUAAUUCCAAAAUCUUAUCUACCAUGACUUGUGAAGAACCGUACUCUACAUGGCAAAAGAAAGGAAAACCAAGAUUUCCUUUUACUUGCAUCCUGCACCAAAUGCUAGUGAAGAUAGGAAUUUACCAUCUUGUUGUUGGGUUCCUCUACGUAGUGAUCGAUCCAUGACAUUGUGAUAGUCUGUCUUGAUCUGGCUAUUGAGUUCAGUAAUUGAUUUACCUACUGUAUGAUCAUUGGCAAAUUAUAUUGGUCGGCUCUUGCAUUUGCUUUACUUCUACUUGAUUUGUUGUUAAGUCAUCUGUGAUAGUGAAAAUUUUCUUUUGCUGCAGCCGACACUUCACUUCUUCCAGAAUGGGAAAAAG
Molecule: long non-coding RNA, 914 nt
Filed under: Panax ginseng (ginseng)
Lineage: Eukaryota; Viridiplantae; Streptophyta; Magnoliopsida; Apiales; Araliaceae
Description: long non-coding RNA (PGIN_LNC001005)
Source: RNAcentral